This 500-nucleotide unclassified non-coding RNA is filed under the name uncultured Glomus. RNAcentral's name for it is "SSU rRNA". It matches the Rfam family "Eukaryotic small subunit ribosomal RNA", at positions 569 to 1073 of the family's 1831-position model. Lineage: Eukaryota; Fungi; Glomeromycota; Glomeromycetes; Glomerales; Glomeraceae. The record is from RNAcentral.
AGCAGCCGCGGUAAUUCCAGCUCCAAUAGCGUAUAUUAAAGUUGUUGCAGUUAAAAAGCUCGUAGUUGAAUUUCGGGGUUAGUAGGUUGGUCAUGCCUCUGGUAUGUACUGGUCUCACUGAUUCCUCCUUCCUGAUGAACCUUAAUGCCAUUAAUUUGGUGUUUUGGGGAAUUUGGACUGUUACUUUGAAAAAAUUAGAGUGUUUAAAGCAAGCUAACGCUUGAAUACAUUAGCAUGGAAUAAUGAAAUAGGACGUUCGAUCCUAUUUUGUUGGUUUCUAGGAUUGACGUAAUGAUUAAUAGGGAUAGUUGGGGGCAUUAGUAUUCAAUUGUCAGAGGUGAAAUUCUUGGAUUUAUUGAAGACUAACUACUGCGAAAGCAUUUGCCAAGGAUGUUUUCAUUAAUCAAGAACGAAAGUUAGGGGAUCGAAGACGAUCAGAUACCGUCGUAGUCUUAACCAUAAACUAUGCCGACUAGGGAUCGGAUGAUGUUAAUUUUUAA